RNAcentral lists this ribosomal RNA (468 nucleotides) under uncultured bacterium. Its description in RNAcentral is "partial 16S ribosomal RNA". It matches the Rfam family "Bacterial small subunit ribosomal RNA", at positions 28 to 507 of the family's 1533-position model. The record is from RNAcentral.
GACGAACGCUGGCGGCGUGCUUAACACAUGCAAGUCGAACGGAAAGGCCCUGCUUUUGUGGGGUGCUCGAGUGGCGAACGGGUGAGUAACACGUGAGUAACCUGCCCUUGACUUUGGGAUAACUUCAGGAAACUGGGGCUAAUACCGGAUAGGAGCUCCUGCUGCAUGGUGGGGGUUGGAAAGUUUCGGCGGUUGGGGAUGGACUCGCGGCUUAUCAGCUUGUUGGUGGGGUAGUGGCUUACCAAGGCUUUGACGGGUAGCCGGCCUGAGAGGGUGACCGGCCACAUUGGGACUGAGAUACGGCCCAGACUCCUACGGGAGGCAGCAGGGGGGAAUAUUGCACAAUGGGCGGAAGCCUGAUGCAGCAACGCCGCGUGCGGGAUGACGGGCUUUGGGGUGGAAACCGCUUUCGCCUGGGACGAAGCGUGAGUGACGGUAAUGGGUAAAGAAGCACCGGCUAACUACGUG